UCUUCGAUGGUCUAGUGGUCAUGAUUUCCGCUUGUCAUUGCAAGAUAACAAGCGCGGGAGACCGGGGUUCGAUUCCCCGUCGGAGAG
Molecule: transfer RNA, 87 nt
Filed under: Didymella heteroderae
Lineage: Eukaryota; Fungi; Ascomycota; Dothideomycetes; Pleosporales; Didymellaceae
Rfam family: tRNA
About the family: Transfer RNA (tRNA) molecules are approximately 80 nucleotides in length. Their secondary structure includes four short double-helical elements and three loops (D, anti-codon, and T loops). Further hydrogen bonds mediate the characteristic L-shaped molecular structure. tRNAs have two regions of fundamental functional importance: the anti-codon, which is responsible for specific mRNA codon recognition, and the 3' end, to which the tRNAs corresponding amino acid is attached (by aminoacyl-tRNA synthetases). tRNAs cope with the degeneracy of the genetic code in two manners: having more than one tRNA (with a specific anti-codon) for a particular amino acid; and 'wobble' base-pairing, i.e. permitting non-standard base-pairing at the 3rd anti-codon position.
Source: Rfam by way of RNAcentral